RNAcentral lists this ribosomal RNA (669 nucleotides) under Staphylococcus aureus. Its description in RNAcentral is "bacterial SSU rRNA". It matches the Rfam family "Bacterial small subunit ribosomal RNA", at positions 60 to 711 of the family's 1533-position model. The record is from RNAcentral. Lineage: Bacteria; Bacillati; Bacillota; Bacilli; Caryophanales; Staphylococcaceae.
AGUCGAGCGAACGGACGAGAAGCUUGCUUCUCUGAUGUUAGCGGCGGACGGGUGAGUAACACGUGGAUAACCUACCUAUAAGACUGGGAUAACUUCGGGAAACCGGAGCUAAUACCGGAUAAUAUUUUGAACCGCAUGGUUCAAAAGUGAAAGACGGUCUUGCUGUCACUUAUAGAUGGAUCCGCGCUGCAUUAGCUAGUUGGUAAGGUAACGGCUUACCAAGGCAACGAUGCAUAGCCGACCUGAGAGGGUGAUCGGCCACACUGGAACUGAGACACGGUCCAGACUCCUACGGGAGGCAGCAGUAGGGAAUCUUCCGCAAUGGGCGAAAGCCUGACGGAGCAACGCCGCGUGAGUGAUGAAGGUCUUCGGAUCGUAAAACUCUGUUAUUAGGGAAGAACAUAUGUGUAAGUAACUGUGCACAUCUUGACGGUACCUAAUCAGAAAGCCACGGCUAACUACGUGCCAGCAGCCGCGGUAAUACGUAGGUGGCAAGCGUUAUCCGGAAUUAUUGGGCGUAAAGCGCGCGUAGGCGGUUUUUUAAGUCUGAUGUGAAAGCCCACGGCUCAACCGUGGAGGGUCAUUGGAAACUGGAAAACUUGAGUGCAGAAGAGGAAAGUGGAAUUCCAUGUGUAGCGGUGAAAUGCGCAGAGAUAUGGAGGAACACCA